RNAcentral lists this long non-coding RNA (3211 nucleotides) under Homo sapiens (human). RNAcentral describes it as "HSALNT0001333". Lineage: Eukaryota; Metazoa; Chordata; Mammalia; Primates; Hominidae. The record is from RNAcentral.
AGAUCCCUCAUCCCUGGCAGAUCUUAGAAGAGCUCAGCAUCCACUACCGUCAUGGUUUUGCUGUAUCGCAGUCUCUCCUCGGCCCCGCAGCUCUCCAGAACUGCAAGGCCUCAGACAGCUGCAGCACACGGGUUCAGCAGGCCCCGUUCACCCGCUGGUCGACCCCCUGACUGCCGGUCCCCACCUGGCUCGCUUCCCCUACCCGCCUGGCACUCUCCCCAACCCUCUGCUUGGACAGCCCCCACACGAGCACGAGAUGCUUCGCCACCCAGUUUUCGGCACCCCCUACCCCCGUGACCUGCCUGGGGCCAUCCCACCCCCCAUGUCAGCAGCCCACCAGCUGCAGGCCAUGCAUGCCCAGUCGGCCGAGCUGCAGAGACUGGCCAUGGAGCAGCAGUGGCUGCAUGGACACCCCCACAUGCAUGGUGGCCACCUACCAAGUCAGGAAGAUUAUUACAGUCGACUGAAGAAAGAAGGUGACAAGCAGUUAUAAGUUAUUUAUUUGUUAACGCUGGCUGUGGAAACCCCAGUUCUUGGGGGGAGAAACAGGACUUUUUACAUAAAAUAGGAGCUGCAAAAGCAAAAAGAAUAUCUUCUAAAGAUUUCUUUAUAUAUUUAAAAACCCACAACUAAAAAUGUAUCCACAUAGUAGUGUUCGUUUGUCGAGAGGAUUUCCUGAGACUGGUUUGGAUCUCCCUGCAUGACAGUCCCCCAGAAACUUAGUGAGUCCUGGACUGGACUGAACAUCCAGAAAGCUUCCCUGCAAUCUUGGGGUUUGGCUUUAGUUUUCUUUUCCUUGAUUUCUCAGUAGGUGCUAGAAUCCAGUUCACACCCUUCACUGUGCGUGCAGACACACUGACACACUCCGCCACGAGUGCUCCAGAGCCCACGAGGCUUGCAGAUCGGGGGCAUAGGAAUUUGGAAUCCAAGAGCUAUAAUUUUUAAAAAAAAAAAUCUUUUAUUUUAAUACAUUGUAGGAAAUCUUCAUAAUUGGAGAAAGUUCUGCAGCAUGGCUUUUUACGUCUGUAAAUAAAUAAUUUUAGAACAGCCUUUUUUUCUUCCAUAAACUACUAUUGUGAUCUAUUUUUUCCAGCCAUGUCACUAAUUGUGAAUUCCUACCAACUAUUGACAGAAUACAGAGUUGAUUUUUUAAUAAAAAGUUAUAUAUAAUUAUCCCUUUAAUUAAAGGGAGCAAAGGGGCGUUCCACAUGGACAGAGGCUUGGACCGAGGCCUGGUCACAGCAGCGAGCAUCCAGGGUUUGCAGGGACGAUGUUACAGACUCUGUUUUCUGCCUGGCGUUUCACUUGUGUCUGCUCCUAGCCUGUGCUCUGCCAGCAGCACAGACAUCUGCUCCAUCAGACCUCUUCCAUUUUGCACAGGGAGUGCAGGAGGUGAAUGUUCACUUUCUGUUCUCCAGUGUCACUGUUCUGUUUCCACGGGAUGGAAAGCGCAUGGGCCUGUGUCCAUUGUAGAUUUCCUUCUAGAUUUCUGUGUACACACACUUGAUUGUUCUGGAUGAAUGUCUUUUUUAAUACUCCGAAAAUUUCAUCAUCUAAGAAAAUGAUUCCAUACAAAUAACUCAGCACACAAGUGACCCAGGACAUAUGCCUGCCAAAGGGAUGUGUUAGAAGGCUGCCUUCUCAUGCGCAUUGUCACUUGGAUCUUGUGGUGAGGACGGCCCCAUCUUUCUUGCCACAGAUUGAGGCCACUUUUGAGCAAGGGAGAUCCUGGAGUUAAGACAGGUGUUGGGGGCAGCCUGUAUUUUACCCUAGGGGCAGGUCUGCAUGGUGACCCCACAUUGCACUGGUAAACCAUUUGAGUCCCACUCUUCAUCCUGGAAGUGGGAACUGGAGUCCCACCCACAGUGCAUUCAGAAAGCAUGCUGUGUGGGGGCUGCUUCUCAGGAGGCCAGGCCCUUCUGAGCGGAACCGUCCUGGAGAGAGCCUGCCCUCGUUUCCAGGCUGCAGCCGUAACGCACUUUCUCCCAGGCUGAGGGCGGGUGUUCUGGGGUGUCUGCCCUCUGUCGGCCCUGCUUCCUGCCAGGACGUGGCCUCUUCCGAUCCUUUUCUCUCAGACACUGGAGGUCUCUUCUGCCAUUGUGCUGGUCCCAUCCCAAGAAUUGUAGGACAGAGACCACACUGGGUCGGCGGACACAAAGUCCAUCCAGGACCCAGGCCGCAGAGGGAGCAGGAAGAGAUGCUGAUAGUUUGAUCUAGAAACCAGCAGCUACUGGCUCAAAUUCAGGUUCUGGCGUCAAAUAGCGACAUUUCCAGUUUCUCUUAAAAACCGUGUUUGGUUUCAGUUGGGAUAGGCUUGUUUUGUCUGUUGAAAAUGUUUCUAGUUUUUUUUCUUUCAUUUUUCUCUCAUUCCAUUUCUGCCUUAACUUUAGUUUGUUCACAGGGAGGCAAAGCUGACAUGAACCUUUUGUCGUGGGACUUCAGGCCACAUUGGCUUGAAGGCAUUCGUUUCCUUCUGGGGUGGGGACAGGCCCUCAUGGCAGGCUUGUUCCCGUGGCUCUGAGCGAGGCCUCUUCCUGCUGGGCUCCCAGACUCCUGCAUCCAGGCCCCCACCUUCUCGGCUUCUGGUUUUUCUUUCUUUUUGGUAGAACACAACAUCUACCAUUCAGUUAAACCUUCUUUAUCUCCUCCUUUGGCAUCCAUUUUUCCAAAGAAGAGUCGAGUCCUCUGAGGUCUGUGCUUGAAAGCCGUCCGAAGGCAUUCUUGUUAGCUUUGCUUUUCUCCCCAUAUCCCAAGGCGAAGCGCUGAGAUUCUUCCAUCUAAAAAACCCUCGACCCGAAACCCUCACCAGAUAAACUACAGUUUGUUUAGGAGGCCCUGACCUUCAUGGUGUCUUUGAAGCCCAACCACUCGGUUUCCUUCGGAUUUUCCUCCCUUUGUUCGGGGUUUGGUUUGGCUCCUCUGUGUGUGUCCGUAUCUUGUUCGGUGUCCUCGAGGUUGAGCUUCACUCCACUGCGGCAGAGGCAGCGUGCACACUCGGAUUUGCUACGUUUCUAUAUAUCUUGAAGCUAAAUGUAUAUAUGAGUAGUUUGCCAUGAGAUAACACAGUGUAAACAGUAGACACCCAGAAAUCGUGACUUCUGUGUUCUCUCCAUUUGAGUAUUUUGUAAUUUUUUUGAAAUAUUUGUGGACAUAAAUAAAACCAAGCUACACUACAACCCUUGGGUGUCUCCCGUGCACUGUCUCAUUCCUG